Procambarus clarkii (red swamp crayfish) is the source of this 627-nucleotide non-coding RNA. Lineage: Eukaryota; Metazoa; Arthropoda; Malacostraca; Decapoda; Cambaridae. The record is from RefSeq and is a predicted model, not a curated record.
CUAUAUACUGAUGGAGAUAUCUCCAACUCCUACUGGAUGGAUGGCAUGUUGGACAACAACACAGGCAGAUUCACGUAUGCAUCAGGGGAGUUGGUGCCCAUGGGCACUCCUUUCUGGGGCGCAACAUACACCCUUCACCAACCCAGUGGUGACGGCCCCUGCAUUGAGCUUUAUUCAAAUGACCAUCACUACAUGAAUGACCUGGCUUGUGACCACAUUCAUUUCGCCCUGUGCGAAUUUCCUUUUUCAUCAGCCGGAGAAGGUAUGUAUUGUUUGAAGUAGAUUCCUCAGUAACAAGCUCCAUAUUUUAUCACUCAGCUCUGUGUAUUAAAAAAAAAUAAUUGUAUCUAGUUUUAAAAUCACACAUUAGAGUACAAAUAUUUGAUUUUACUUUACCAAACCUAAGAAACAUGUGAGAAAUUUAUCAGAAGGAUGUAAUUUUAAUAUUUUAAAAAUUUUAUUGAUUAAUUAUUUAUGUUGAAUUUUAAUUUUAAAUUAUUUAUUUUGCAAUUUGACUAUAUGAAGAUAAUUCUUCCACUAAUAAACUCUCACUAGUUUGGGUGGGGGGUUAUAUUUAUAAAUUCAACUAGACAGGAAUUGACUUGUUAGUCACAUCAUAAAUUUAAA